This 457-nucleotide long non-coding RNA is filed under the name Homo sapiens (human). RNAcentral's name for it is "HSALNT0307929". The record is from RNAcentral. Lineage: Eukaryota; Metazoa; Chordata; Mammalia; Primates; Hominidae.
GUUGCAGAGAGGAAGAGUCGCUAACCCGGAGUGUUUCUUAAAACUUGGCUGACCUGUGACCUGCGGAUUUGGAGGCUGAAUUCUCCGAGCACCUGAAGCUACUGCAGGAUAUAAUCUAAGAAAAUAAGGGGAAGAAAACAAGAAAGAGGAAGACAUUGGAUCCAAGAAAUGGGGGAUCUAUCACCUUACAGAUGAAAAGAGAAUCUACAUGAUCUUUGUGAAGGAUCUGGCUAGAAACAGCACAAGGCAGCACAGGACUUGAGUCUGAAUCCCUUGCUCUGUCACUUCCUAGCUAUAUAGCUGCAGGCAAGUACUUACUCUCCCUAUGCCUCUGAUUUCUUAUUUUAAAGUUGAGGAAACAAGUAAUUCCCUCAUAAAGUUGUGUGUUAAUCAUUAAGGCUGUUGACAAAUACUCUGUUUUCCCAUCUUCUAUGCACGUUAAAAAUGUAAUCUCCUA